AUCCCCUUCGAGCACCCUGCCACCUUUGACACGCUCGUCAUGCACCCUGAUGAGAAGGAGGCCGUCAUCGACGACCUCAUGGCAUCCAAGGAGAGCAAGGAAUACUACGCCAAGGUCGGCAAGGCAUGGAAGCAUGGGUACCUCCUCUAUGGAUAGCCCAACACCGGCAAGUCCACCAUGAUCGCCUUCAUGGCCAACUUCCUUGACUACGACAUCUACGACCUCGAGCUCACAACGUUCAAGAACAACACCAAGUUGCGGAAGCUCUUCAUCGAGACCACGGGCAAGUCCAUCAUCUUCAUAGAGGACAUUGACUGCUCCGUCGACCUCACGGGAAAACGUCGCAAGGACAAGAAGACCGCAAGCAACAAGGACUCCAAGAAUGAUGACAAGCCCAUGCUACCGGUAGAGCCGGAGAAGGACGACGUCACCAAGGUGACGCUCUCAGGCCUGCUUAACUUUAUUGACUGGCUGUGGUCUGCUUACGGAGGUGAGCGGAUCAUCAUCUUCACCACCAAACACAAGGAGAAGCUAGACCAGGCGUUGAUCCAGAGGGGCGGGAUGGACAAGCACAUCGAGAUGUCCUACUGCCGCUUCAAGGGCUUCAAGCUGCUCGCCAAAAACUACCUAGAUGUCAUCGAGCAUUAGCUCUUUGCGGAAAUUUAGCGUCUACUCAAGGAGAUAGACAUGUCGCCUGCCGACGUUGCAGAGAACCUGAUGCCCAUGUCAAAGAAGAAGAGGGAGCCCGACGAGUGCUUGACAAGCCUCAUUGAGGCGCUCAAAGAGGCCAAAGAGGAUGCUGCGGCCGCCAUGGAGGCUGCAGCAAACAAAGCCAAGGAGAAAGAGGAGGCAGAGGUGAAGAAAGCCAAGGAGGAAGACAAAGGGAAGGACAAAGCACCGGAGGAAGCCAAUGGAGAUAUCAACAAGUGA
RNAcentral lists this ribosomal RNA (930 nucleotides) under Triticum aestivum (bread wheat). Its description in RNAcentral is "partial small subunit ribosomal RNA". The record is from RNAcentral. Lineage: Eukaryota; Viridiplantae; Streptophyta; Magnoliopsida; Poales; Poaceae.